UUGGGUGGCGGACGGGUGAGUAACGCGUAAAGAACUUGCCUCACAGCUAGGGACAACAUUUGGAAACGAAUGCUAAUACCUGAUAUUAUGAUUUUAAGGCAUCUUAGAAUUAUGAAAGCUAUAUGCGCUGUGAGAGAGCUUUGCGUCCCAUUAGCUAGUUGGAGAGGUAACAGCUCACCAAGGCGAUGAUGGGUAGCCGGCCUGAGAGGGUGAUCGGCCACAAGGGGACUGAGACACGGCCCAGACUCC
RNAcentral lists this ribosomal RNA (249 nucleotides) under uncultured Fusobacterium sp. RNAcentral describes it as "partial 16S ribosomal RNA". It matches the Rfam family "Bacterial small subunit ribosomal RNA", at positions 91 to 339 of the family's 1533-position model. Lineage: Bacteria; Fusobacteriati; Fusobacteriota; Fusobacteriia; Fusobacteriales; Fusobacteriaceae. The record is from RNAcentral.